This 443-nucleotide ribosomal RNA is filed under the name uncultured bacterium. RNAcentral's name for it is "bacterial SSU rRNA". It matches the Rfam family "Bacterial small subunit ribosomal RNA", at positions 28 to 451 of the family's 1533-position model. The record is from RNAcentral.
GAUGAACGCUGGCGGCGUGCUUAACACAUGCAAGUCGAACGAAGCACUCUAUUUGAUUUUCUUCGGAAAUGAAGAUUUUGUGACUGAGUGGCGGACGGGUGAGUAACGCGUGGGUAACCUGCCUCAUACAGGGGGAUAACAGUUGGAAACGACUGCUAAUACCGCAUAAGCACACAGGAUCGCAUGAUCCGGUGUGAAAAACUCCGGUGGUAUGAGAUGGACCCGCGUCUGAUUAGCCAGUUGGCAGGGUAACGGCCUACCAAAGCGACGAUCAGUAGCCGACCUGAGAGGGUGACCGGCCACAUUGGGACUGAGACACGGCCCAAACUCCUACGGGAGGCAGCAGUGGGGAAUAUUGCACAAUGGGGGAAACCCUGAUGCAGCGACGCCGCGUGAGCGAAGAAGUAUUUCGGUAUGUAAAGCUCUAUCAGCAGGGAAGAAGA